AGAGUUUGAUCAUGGCUCAGGAUGAACGCUGGCGGCGUGCCUAAUACAUGCAAGUCGAACGAAGAGAGAAGCUUGCUUCUCUUUUAGUGGCGAACGGGUGAGUAAUACAUAAGCAACCUACCCAUUCGACCGGGAUAACAGUUGGAAACGACUGCUAAUACCGGAUAGGUGACCGGGGGACAUCCCCUGAUCAUUAAAGCUGGGACACAGCACGAAUGGAUGGGCUUAUGGCGCAUUAGUUAGUUGGCGGGGUAACGGCCCACCAAGACGAUGAUGCGUAGCCGACCUGAGAGGGUGACCGGCCACACUGGGACUGAGACACGGCCCAGACUCCUACGGGAGGCAGCAGUAGGGAAUUUUCGGCAAUGGGCGCAAGCCUGACCGAGCAACGCCGCGUGAGUGAAGAAGGCCUUCGGGUUGUAAAGCUCUGUUGUAAGGGAAGAAUGGCCAAGAGAGGGAAUGCUCUUGGAGUGACGGUACCUUACCAGAAAGCCACGGCUAACUACGUGCCAGCAGCCGCGGUAAUACGUAGGUGGCAAGCGUUAUCCGGAAUUAUUGGGCGUAAAGGGAGCGUAGGCGGUUUGAUAAGUCUGAGGUGAAAGUUCGGGGCUCAACUCCGGAUUGCCUUAGAAACUGUCAGACUAGAGUGCAGGAGAGGGCAAUGGAAUUCCAUGUGUAGCGGUAAAAUGCGUAGAUAUAUGGAGGAACACCAGUGGCGAAGGCGGUUGCCUGGCCUGUAACUGACGCUGAGGCUCGAAAGCGUGGGGAGCAAAUAGGAUUAGAUACCCUGGUAGUCC
Molecule: ribosomal RNA, 797 nt
Filed under: uncultured bacterium
Lineage: Bacteria
Description: bacterial SSU rRNA
Rfam family: Bacterial small subunit ribosomal RNA
Source: RNAcentral